This 75-nucleotide transfer RNA is filed under the name Elusimicrobiales bacterium. Its description in RNAcentral is "tRNA-Leu". It matches the Rfam family "tRNA". From Rfam's summary of the family: Transfer RNA (tRNA) molecules are approximately 80 nucleotides in length. Their secondary structure includes four short double-helical elements and three loops (D, anti-codon, and T loops). The record is from RNAcentral. Lineage: Bacteria; Pseudomonadati; Elusimicrobiota; Elusimicrobia; Elusimicrobiales.
GCAGGAAUAGCAGAACUGGCAUAUGCAACAAGCUCAAACCUUGUAUUAUUAUGGGUUCGACUCCCAUUUCCUGUA